RNAcentral lists this ribosomal RNA (197 nucleotides) under uncultured bacterium. Its description in RNAcentral is "partial 16S ribosomal RNA". It matches the Rfam family "Bacterial small subunit ribosomal RNA", at positions 328 to 539 of the family's 1533-position model. The record is from RNAcentral.
ACGCUCGACACCUACGGGAGCAGCAGUGGGGAAUAUUGCACAAUGGGGGAAACCCUGAUGCAGCGAUGCCGCGUGAAGGAAGAAGUAUCUCGGUAUGUAAACUUCUAUCAGCAGGGAAGAAAAUGACGGUACCUGACUAAGAAGCCCCGGCUAACUACGUGCCUGCAGCCGCGGUAAUCUGAGCGGGCUGGCAAGGC